This 465-nucleotide ribosomal RNA is filed under the name uncultured Klebsiella sp. RNAcentral's name for it is "bacterial SSU rRNA". It matches the Rfam family "Bacterial small subunit ribosomal RNA", at positions 338 to 795 of the family's 1533-position model. Lineage: Bacteria; Pseudomonadati; Pseudomonadota; Gammaproteobacteria; Enterobacterales; Enterobacteriaceae. The record is from RNAcentral.
CCUACGGGUGGCUGCAGUGGGGAAUAUUGCACAAUGGGCGCAAGCCUGAUGCAGCCAUGCCGCGUGUGUGAAGAAGGCCUUCGGGUUGUAAAGCACUUUCAGCGGGGAGGAAGGCGGUGAGGUUAAUAACCUCAUCGAUUGACGUUACCCGCAGAAGAAGCACCGGCUAACUCCGUGCCAGCAGCCGCGGUAAUACGGAGGGUGCAAGCGUUAAUCGGAAUUACUGGGCGUAAAGCGCACGCAGGCGGUCUGUCAAGUCGGAUGUGAAAUCCCCGGGCUCAACCUGGGAACUGCAUUCGAAACUGGCAGGCUAGAGUCUUGUAGAGGGGGGUAGAAUUCCAGGUGUAGCGGUGAAAUGCGUAGAGAUCUGGAGGAAUACCGGUGGCGAAGGCGGCCCCCUGGACAAAGACUGACGCUCAGGCGCGAAAGCGUGGGGAGCAAACAGGAUUAGAUACCCCUGUAGUC